AAAAGAUUAAAGAAGCCAUCUUCAAUCUUUCUUCUUCUUUCUUCCUUUCUGGUUUUCUUCUUUAUUGUUUCUUGAAGAUGAUGGUGAGAUGAAGAGAAGGUGAAGAGAGGAAGAAGAGGAAGAUGAAUGCAUAACGUUUUAAAGUGGUUCGGCAAAUGCCUACAUCCACUGUGCCUUGGGAGCAAGAUCAGAUGCACAGGAGCAUCGAUAGAGAUUUGGACUGAAGCUGGAGACAAUGGAAUCCAGAGUUGCUCCGACGUGUGGGCAAAUAAACAGACCUACUGAUGACAACUAGUUCCGCCACGACACGAUUGAGUCUAGUAUCGGUAUAGGUAGAGCCAAAUUUUGAAAAUCUCAUGGCGUAAAUUCUAGCACUCGACGUUGGAAUAGUUGAACUUCGUCAGACCUCGACGACGAGCCUUCUCAUUGGGUGAGUGUACGGACAUUUAGUCCAAUUGUGCACCCUUGAACUUUGAACACAUAAAUCCAAAACCGAUCACACAAAAUGAAAGAGAAAGAUUGAGAGGAAGAAAGAGAGAGAUUGAGAAUGCUUGAGAAGACAUAUGGAGGGAUUAAAUCCCUAUUCCUUUCCUUCCA
Long non-coding RNA from Cucumis sativus (cucumber), 597 nucleotides. RefSeq lists it as uncharacterized. The transcript is spliced from 2 exons. Lineage: Eukaryota; Viridiplantae; Streptophyta; Magnoliopsida; Cucurbitales; Cucurbitaceae. The record is from RefSeq and is a predicted model, not a curated record.